UCUGCCACAGGUUUUUCUUCACAUACCUCCUGCCUCACAGUGCCCCGCCUUCACUGCGUCCUCUGCUGGACAGCAUCGUCAACGCCACAGGAGAGCUCACCUGGGGGGUGGACGAGACCCUGGCCCAGCUGGAGAAGGUGCUGCACCUGUACCGGAGCGGGCAGUAUCUGCAGAACUCCACGGCAAGCAGCAGUACCGAGUACCAGUGUAUCCCAGACAGCACCAUCCCCCAGGAAGACUACCGCUGCUGGCCAUCCUACCACCACGGGAGCUGCCUCCUUUCAGUGUUCAACCUGGCUGAGGCCGUGGAUGUCUGUGAGAGCCAUGCCCAGUGUCGGGCCUUUGUGGUCACCAACCAGACCACCUGGACAGGUGAGCCAGUGGGAGAAGCCCUUCCAAGGGAGAUGGCAGGACCCCUCUGGAGGUUGAUAGAUAGUGAUCCCCCAUCGGAAGUCAGAGGGGGUGCUGAGGUGAUGAGAGAGAGGUAUACGUGUCUUCAAGGCAGUCAAAUUAGGGAGAAUGGUCCUGCCUCCAGAAAGAGAAACAUCCAGCCCUGUUACCUCUCACCUCUGCCCCCCAGGUCGGCAGCUGGUCUUUUUCAAGACUGGAUGGAGCCAAGUGGUCCCUGAUCCCAACAAGACCACAUAUGUGAAGGCCUCUGGCUGACCUAUCUGAAGGCUCGGCUGACCAGCUGACUAUCCUCAGCAGCUGGGCUUGCCUGUGGAGGGAGUGACUUGCAUUGGCAGCACUGCAUGUCACCUGGGAACCCCUGCAGACAAAGCUAACAUCCCAGACAGACAGAUGUGACCAGGACAAACGUGCAAUAAUGCCAAAUGUUAAAAUGUGAGUUUACCAGCCUAGCUAUGGGACUGCUGGCUCCUAGUCCAGGAAUCAUGGGGGUAUGACUGCCUCUCCAACCCUCUGGGCUGUAAGCAAGCUCAGGCUAGUCUCCCCACUGGGGGCUGUGCCCCUCCCUGGGACGGUUCCGUGGGCAGCCCCAUCACUGUGUUCAAUAGUGUGAGAAUGUAGCUAAAGCCCCUGCUGCUGCUGCUGCACAUGCCACAGCAGGCGGGGGGGGCUGCGUGGGGACAAUCCAUCGUGGAGUGUUCUCUCAGCUUAGGUCUGGACAGGAGACUUGGCGGGGGAUGCUCCAGGAUGUGGGUGAUUCUGUACCUGGGGAGGCUAUCUCUGACCUCCCGACAGGGGACACUCCCAGGCCAGCCCAGGGGUCAGGGGCAGAGGUGCACACCUCAGCAUGAGCCAAGACUGGGGUCAGGGAGCAGGUGUGGUUUGAGCCAGGACCUGGGGCGGGGGUGGGGCCGGGGCCUUUCUGCCUCAUUUGCUUUCAAUGAAAGCCGCAAAGCAGCCAAAACCAGGCUUUCCCCCUUCCUCGAGUUUGAAUAUCCAGAAUCUUUUGUACUUCUUGUUGGUUAAAUUGUUUAUUUUU
This 1447-nucleotide small RNA is filed under the name Pan troglodytes (chimpanzee). RNAcentral's name for it is "retained intron". Lineage: Eukaryota; Metazoa; Chordata; Mammalia; Primates; Hominidae. The record is from RNAcentral.